Molecule: long non-coding RNA, 1230 nt
Filed under: Macaca fascicularis (crab-eating macaque)
Lineage: Eukaryota; Metazoa; Chordata; Mammalia; Primates; Cercopithecidae
Description: lncRNA (ENSMFAG00000048799.1)
Source: RNAcentral
UUUUUUUUUUUUUAAUUAUUUAAGACCUUUAUUAACAGGUGCUUGCAGUUUGUUGACUUUUUUGAAAAAAUCAAGUUGUAAACUUUUAUUACAAAUUAAAAAUGAAGUUCUUAAAAAUCUCAACUUGACCAGAUACGAAACAAUUUAAAAACCUUUAAAGGCGUAUUGAGAUUUCCAGGCUUUUUUAAAAAACACGUUUGUUAUUACCAAAAAGAGACGUCUUUAGGUAAAAAUAAUAAAAACCCCAUGCUGCAUAGAUAAUGCAGAUAGUUCUAUUUAUCUGGUCAACGGGCAAAAAGCAAGCACUUAAGGUCUUCAGCGCCAAUCUUUUGUUCAUUUCUUAUUGCUGGAAUUUCAUAUUUCUUCUUGUUGAUGACUAAACCGGAUGAUGGUAGAGAUGGUAAGCCGGCAUUUACUCAGCCCCGCCCUGCUCAGCCUCCGGAGCGGACUAAUUCUCAGCUGGUGGAUCGGCUGCUUUUGUCUCUUUGCCAUCUUGUGGUUUAGGGUUUUCUGGGCGUCUGCGUGGGUAAUUGAAGUUGCGGCGGUACCGACCUUGAGGUGGCUGCUGACCUUGGGUCUCAUCUCCUUGAUUUUCUUUAUCUUCUUCAUUGCCGUCCUCUCUAGGCUGUCUUUGGCCAGGAGGGCCCCUGCGGAAUCGUGGUCUAUAUCCCCAUACAUAUUGUGCCUCACUGGUCUCCCUUGUUCUCCUGCACCCUGGUUGUCAGCACCCUCCAUCACUUCUCCCUGCACAGGAGGGUUGGAAUACUGUGGUUGACGCCCACAGGGUCUCCGCAUGUAGUAAGGUGGGAACCUUCGCCUGCGGUAGGGCCGGCGUUGUUGGGCCUGGCCUUCGGGAGCACUCUCCGAUCCCUCGUUCUUUUCCCCACUCUCACUAUUCUGGUAAUUUUGCUGGUAAUUGCGUGGAGGACCCCUAGGACGUGGAUAGCGUCUAUAAUGGUUACGUCUGCUGCAUAUUUACUGCCUUGAACUGGAACACCACCAGGACCUGUAACAUUUGCUGCCUCCGCACCCUUUUCUCCUUCAACAACAUCAAACUCCACAGUCUCUCCAUCUACACUGCGAAGGUACUUCCUGGGGUUAUUCUUCUUUAUGGCAGUCUGGUGUACAAAUACAUCUUCCUUGGUGUCAUUCCUGUUGAUGAAACCAUAUCCGUUCCUUACAUUGAACCAUUUUACUGUUCCCAAAACCUUCAUUGCGAUGACCUUCUUG